GAAAACGCUGGCGGCGUGCCUCUUACAUGCAAGUCCAGCGGAUUGAAGGGAGCUUGCUCCCUGAUAUUAGCGGCGGACGGGUGAGUAACACGUGGGCAACCUGCCCUGCAGAUGGGGAUAACUCCGGGAAACCGGGGCUAAUACCGAAUAAUCGGUUCUUCCGCAUGGAAGAACUCUGAAAGACGGUUUCGGCUGUCACUGCAGGAUGGGCCCGCGGCGCAUUAGCUAGUUGGUGGGGUAACGGCCUACCAAGGCGACGAUGCGUAGCCGACCUGAGAGGGUGAUCGGCCACACUGGGACUGAGACACGGCCCAGACUCCUACGGGAGGCAGCAGUAGGGAAUCUUCCACAAUGGACGAAAGUCUGAUGGAGCAACGCCGCGUGAGCGAAGAAGGUUUUCGGAUCGUAAAGCUCUGUUGCGAGGGAAGAACAAGUACGGGAGUAACUGACCGUACCUUGACGGUACCUCGUCAGAAAGCCACGGCUAACUACGUGCCAGCAGCCGCGGUAAUACGUAGGUGGCAAGCGUUGUCCGGAAUUAUUGGGCGUAAAGCGCGCGCAGGCGGUCCUUUAAGUCUGAUGUGAAAGCCCACGGCUCACCGUGGAGGGUCAUUGGAAACUGGAGGACUUGAGUACAGAAGAGGAAAGCGGAAUUCCACGUGUAGCGGUGAAAUGCGUAGAGAUGUGGAGGAACACCAGUGGCGAAGCGGCUUUCUGGUCUGUAACUGACGCUGAGGCGCGAAAG
Molecule: ribosomal RNA, 745 nt
Filed under: Sporosarcina sp. RS252
Lineage: Bacteria; Bacillati; Bacillota; Bacilli; Caryophanales; Caryophanaceae
Description: bacterial SSU rRNA
Rfam family: Bacterial small subunit ribosomal RNA
Source: RNAcentral